CAAGUCGAACGAUGAAGGGGAGCUUGCUCCCUGGAUUAGUGGCGAACGGGUGAGUAACACGUGAGCAACCUGCCCCUAACUCUGGGAUAACGCUUCGAAAGGAGUGCUAAUACCGGGAUAUGAGCCUGGAAGACAUCUUCUGGGUUGGAAAGUUUUCGGUUAGGGAUGGGCUCGCGGCCUAUCAGCUUGUUGGUGAGGUAAAGGCUCACCAAGGCGACGACGGGUAUCCGGCCUGAGAGGGCGACCGGACACACUGGGACUGAGACACGGCCCAGACUCC
RNAcentral lists this ribosomal RNA (280 nucleotides) under unidentified marine bacterioplankton. RNAcentral describes it as "partial 16S ribosomal RNA". It matches the Rfam family "Bacterial small subunit ribosomal RNA", at positions 58 to 339 of the family's 1533-position model. The record is from RNAcentral.